RNAcentral lists this ribosomal RNA (465 nucleotides) under uncultured bacterium. Its description in RNAcentral is "partial 16S ribosomal RNA". It matches the Rfam family "Bacterial small subunit ribosomal RNA", at positions 338 to 795 of the family's 1533-position model. The record is from RNAcentral.
CCUACGGGAGGCAGCAGUAGGGAAUCUUCCACAAUGGGCGCAAGCCUGAUGGAGCAACGCCGCGUGAGUGAAGAAGGUCUUCGGAUCGUAAAACUCUGUUGUUAGAGAAGAAAGUGCGUGAGAGUAACUGUUCACGUUUUGACGGUAUCUAACCAGAAAUCCACGGCUAACUACGUGCCAGCAGCCGCGGUAAUACGUAGGUGGCAAGCGUUAUCCGGAUUUAUUGGGCGUAAAGCGAACGCAGGCGGUGUUUUAGGUCUGAUGUGAAAGCCUUCGGCUAAACCGGAGUAGUGCGUGGGAAACGGGGGGACGUGAGUGCAGAAGAGGAGAGUGGAACUCCAUGUGUAGCGGUGAAAUGCGUAGAUAUAUGGAGGAACACCAGUGGCGAAGGCGGCUCACUGGACUGUAACUGACGCUGAGGUUCGAAAGCGUGGGUAGCAAACAGGAUUAGAUACCCCAGUAGUC